AUAUAGGAGGGAAAAAUCCCAUCUUGUUCCAUCCAUGUUCCUUAUACAAUUCAUAAUACGCCCAAUUACUGUCUUUAUAAUCACCUGUUACAGCUGACGUUUGACAGAGUCAAAACAAACCAAUCCAUGUAUAAGAAAACAUGACGAACUGAGGUCAAAGGACUACACUCUAUAGUUGUGAUGAGAAACUGUGGGUUCUGAAAUCCACACUAGAGAUUUGUAAUUGAGAUUAUGAGAAAGGACGGCUAGAUCUUCACUGGAACUUUGAGAGUUAUAUUGCUAAGAACGAAUGGACUUUUGUAUUGAUUGUG
Molecule: small RNA, 311 nt
Filed under: Arabidopsis thaliana (thale cress)
Lineage: Eukaryota; Viridiplantae; Streptophyta; Magnoliopsida; Brassicales; Brassicaceae
Description: ATSL207680
Source: RNAcentral